GCAGGUGCAUGAAUUUUAAUGAAGGGGAAUGAUGGCAGGUCUGAGUUUGAGGAGGGUGAUCACCAACAUUCAGGGUAUCUUGGGCCAGUGCUUUGCGUAGGACAAAACACCAGGUUCGUCUUUGCCAGCCACAUUUAUCCUCAUGAAGGACUGGAGACAGCACGACUGGUAAUUUCUGCAGUAGAAGUAGGUAUGCUCUAUCUUCCUGCAAGCGGUCCUGCAGACGCCCAUGCUACCCAUGCAUCGAAGGAGGGAAUGUCUUCCUGGACAAAAUAUAAAAUAACAUGACAGUGAUAAUUAAUUUCCACUUGGCAGUGACAUAGAUCUGAUGGGUCCGGGAGCAUCAUAAAAACCUAAAGGUUGACAGAGACUUCCACUUCCAGAAAAACAGUGCCAAAGUCAUUUUCUCUACUUGUCUUCUUAAAACCCUGGGCAUUAUACAUAAAUAUAAGAAUCCUCUGAAAGGUAAAGAGAAGAAGUCAAGCCAGGCAGGGACCUCAAGAUCUGAGGAACGAUCUCUUAGGUUUGAUUUUGCCUCUUAUAUUCUAGGAUGGUGCUGGAGAAGCUGGCAAUCUGGAAAUACAUGUGGGUGCAGAGAUUUUUUUAAAAAGAAGAAGAAGAAGUCCCUAAGAAAAUUCUGCUCUUUCUAGUCCAAAGACCAGGAAAAGGGCAGCCUAGCAAAACAGAACGUUUUAGACAGUAGCCUCUUUGCUCAAAAAACACAGAAAAGUCUACAGCCCCAUUCAUACCUCUAGUAAAUAUGGCCAAGUGG
RNAcentral lists this long non-coding RNA (772 nucleotides) under Marmota monax (woodchuck). Lineage: Eukaryota; Metazoa; Chordata; Mammalia; Rodentia; Sciuridae. The record is from RNAcentral.